AGGUGUCCUGUGAGGAUGCUGGAGGUAUCGGAAGCGCGAAUGCUGACAUGAGUAGCGAUAAAACGGGUGAAAGUCCCGUUCGCCGGAAGCCAAGGUUUCCUGCGCAACGUUCAUCGGCGCAGGGUGAGUCGCCCCUAAAGGCGAGGCAGAGGAUGCGUAGCUGAUGGGAAACAGGUCAAUAUUCUGUACCGCUAUCAAUGCGAUGGGGGGACGGAGAAGGUAAGGCCAGCCAGGUGUUGGAUGUCCUGGUUUAAGCGUGUGGCGUGCCCCUCGGCAAAUCCGGGGGCUAAGCUGAGGCGUGACACGAGGCUACGGUGCUGAAGUGGUUGAUCCUAUGCUUCCAAGAAAAGCCUCUAAGCUUCAGUUGGAUAGUGACCGUACCGCAAACCGACACAGGUGGGCGGGGUGAGAAUCUAAGGCGCUUGAGAGAACUCUGGAGAAGGAACUCGGCAAAUUGACACCGUAACUUCGGGAUAAGGUGUGCCUCUAUUACGUGAAGACCCUUGCGGUUGGAGCGGAAGAGGUUGCAGUGAAAAGGUGGCUGCAACUGUUUAUUAAAAACACAGCACUGUGCAAACACGAAAGUGGACGUAUACGGUGUGACGCCUGCCCGGUGCCGGAAGGUUAAGUGAUGGGGUGCAAGCUCUUGAUCGAAGCCCCGGUAAACGGCGGCCGUAACUAUAACGGUCCCUAAGGUAGCGAAAUUCCUUGUCGGGUAAGUUCCGACCCGCACGAAUGGCGUAACGAUGGCCACACUGUCUCCUCAGAGACUCAGCGAAAUUGAAGUGUUUGUGAAGAUGCAAUCUCCCCGCGGCUAGACGGAAAGACCCCAUGAACCUUUACUGCAGCUUUGCAUUGGACUUUGACGGGACAUGUGUAGGAUAGGUGGGAGGCUGUGAAGCGGGAACGCUAGUUCUCGUGGAGCCAACCUUGAAAUACCACCCUGGUGUCGUUGAGGUUCUAACCUGGACCCCUUAUCAGGGUCGGGGACCGUGCAUGGUAGGCAGUUUGACUGGGGCGGUCUCCUCCCAAAAGGUAACGGAGGAGCACGAAGGUUGGCUAGACACGGUCGGAAAUCGUGUUGAUAGUGCAAGGGCAUAAGCCAAAGCAACUGCGAGACCCACAAGUCGAGCAGAUGCAAAGCAGGUCCUAGUGAUCCGGUGGUUCUGUAUGGAAGGGCCAUCGCUCAACGGAUAAAAGGUACUCUGGGGAUAACAGGCUGAUUCCGCCCAAGAGUUCACAUCGACGGCGGAGUUUGGCACCUCGAUGUCGGCUCAUCUCAUCCUGGGGCUGUAGCCGGUCCCAAGGGUAUGGCUGUUCGCCAUUUAAAGAGGUACGUGAGCUGGGUUCAAAACGUCGUGAGACAGUUUGGUCCCUAUCUGCCGUGGGCGCUGGAGAUUUGACGGGGGCUGCUCCUAGUACGAGAGGACCGGAGUGGACGCACCUCUGGUGUACCGGUUAUCACGCCAGUGGUAUCGCCGGGUAGCUAAGUGCGGAAGAGAUAAACGCUGAAAGCAUCUAAGCGUGAAACUCGCCUGAAGAUGAGAUCUCCCGGAGGCUUGACCUCCUUGAAGGGUCGUUGAAGACCACAACGUUGAUAGGCUGGUGUGGAAGCGCGGUAACGCGUUAAGCUAACCAGUACUAAUUGCCCGUACGGCGACCCUAU
This 1666-nucleotide ribosomal RNA is filed under the name Hydrogenophilales bacterium. Its description in RNAcentral is "partial 23S ribosomal RNA". It matches the Rfam family "Bacterial large subunit ribosomal RNA", at positions 1254 to 2925 of the family's 2925-position model. Lineage: Bacteria; Pseudomonadati; Pseudomonadota; Hydrogenophilia; Hydrogenophilales. The record is from RNAcentral.